UCUUCAGUAUAAAUAUGUCCCAUGCAAUAUUUGGGACAUACUUAUACUAAAA
This 52-nucleotide microRNA precursor is filed under the name Equus asinus (donkey). RNAcentral's name for it is "mir-1302 microRNA precursor family". It matches the Rfam family "mir-1302 microRNA precursor family". RNAcentral also lists the same sequence under 1 other name. The record is from Rfam by way of RNAcentral. Lineage: Eukaryota; Metazoa; Chordata; Mammalia; Perissodactyla; Equidae.